GGCCCAUCUGCUACAGUGACAUUAGUGGAAGUUGUGUAUAAGACUGAAAAGUGGAAAACAGACUUGGAUUACUUGUCAUAUUACUUGUCAUAUGACAUGUGGCACCAUAAUCAAUGACCGAUUUGGAUGAUGAGGAAACAAGAAAAGUUUUGGAUUUUCGAUCUUCCAUCUGCCUGUUCUUCCUCCAAUCGAAUGACAAUUUUUGAGGUGAGAUACAACUAUCAAACUUUUCCUUAAAGGAGCUAGCCAAUUACUCGAAGUUCUUGAUCAAUCCCAUUAGGAGUCUUUAGUACCACUUCUAAGCUAACCCUUUCAAAGUUGUUGGGAACACUCUGCACAGGAUAUAGUUG
RNAcentral lists this unclassified non-coding RNA (350 nucleotides) under Hevea brasiliensis (rubber tree). Lineage: Eukaryota; Viridiplantae; Streptophyta; Magnoliopsida; Malpighiales; Euphorbiaceae. The record is from RNAcentral.